ACUCCGGAAACGCAGCCUCCCCGGCUGCGGCGCAGGGCCCCCGGACCCUGCGGAACCUGGGCUGAAGCGAAAAAGCCAGCGGAAGGAACCCGGGAAAAAACAAGAAACCCAUUCCAUCCUCCUUUCCAGGCCUUCGCCCGCCCGAGACCCGCCGUCUCCCGGAGUUCUCGGGGAUAACGGGCUCAGCUGCGAAGUUCUUCCUUGAGCAUCUGAAUUUGGUUGUGGUCAGAUGGUGGAUAAAGCUGGACUUAUCUGAAUCUUCUUUCGUCACAUGUCUGGAGUGUCUGGAGUGGCUGGAAAACAGCUUCCUCACAAGUUGGCCAAGUGGCUGGAAGUCCACCUACAAUGGGCAUGCCGUCCUGGAACAUCUCUCUUCUCUAUCUUGGAUUCGGUUCUAUGAUGAAGAAAAUGAGGCAGGGAGAGGAGCAGACUGAUUCUCAAUGCUGUGCUCCCCUCCUCAGGGAAGAGCUGGGGAACCCAUGUGGGGAUAGGAAAGAGUCCCCCUAUGUUAUUGGGGACAGAAUUGUGCCCAGACAAGAAAAUGAUGUUUCCCAGCCUCCCCUGCAGCUGAGUGGGGACAACCAUUGAGAUGCCGUUGCAGGGCUCCGCUUUGGAGCGGGCAUUGGAGGAAUUCUUUGACCACCAAGCAGCCUCCAUACCUCCCUCCUACAUAACAGAGCCACCGAGAGGCUGUUUGCAUUCUGCCUGCUUUCUCUUUUUCCGUUGCAGUAGUUUAUUAAUUAGUGUGCAAAAAAUAAAAAGGAGGUAAUAACCUUAUUUAUGUGCUAGU
RNAcentral lists this long non-coding RNA (790 nucleotides) under Homo sapiens (human). RNAcentral's name for it is "non-protein coding lnc-CASK-8:3". The record is from RNAcentral. Lineage: Eukaryota; Metazoa; Chordata; Mammalia; Primates; Hominidae.